UACGAAGGGGGCUAGCGUUGCUCGGAAUCACUGGGCGUAAAGGGUGCGUAGGCGGGUCUCUAAGUCAGGGGUGAAAUCCUGGAGCUCAACUCCAGAACUGCCUUUGAUACUGAAGAUCUUGAGUUCGGGAGAGGUGAGUGGAACUGCGAGUGCAGAGGUGAAAUUCGUAGAUAUUCGCAAGAACACCAGUGGCGAAGGCGGCUCACUGGCCCGAUACUGACGCUGAGGCACGAAAGCGUGGGGAGCAAACAGG
This 253-nucleotide ribosomal RNA is filed under the name uncultured bacterium. RNAcentral's name for it is "partial 16S ribosomal RNA". It matches the Rfam family "Bacterial small subunit ribosomal RNA", at positions 524 to 776 of the family's 1533-position model. The record is from RNAcentral.